This 218-nucleotide ribosomal RNA is filed under the name uncultured Glomeromycotina. RNAcentral describes it as "partial small subunit ribosomal RNA". The stretch from base 46 to 218 matches the Rfam family "Eukaryotic small subunit ribosomal RNA", at positions 691 to 864 of the family's 1831-position model. Lineage: Eukaryota; Fungi; Glomeromycota. The record is from RNAcentral.
GGGUUCACCCAUUGGUCAGGCUUAAUUGUCUGUACUGGUGAGAUGAAUCUCUACCUUCUGAGGAACUUUCAUGCCAUUUACUUGGUGUGAUGGGAAAUCAGGACUGUUACUUUGAAAAAAUUAGAGUGUUUAAAGCAGGCUAACGUCUGAAUACAUUAGCAUGGAAUAAUAGAAUAGGACGGUUUGGUUCUAUUUUGUUGGUUUCUAGGAUCACCGUA